AAAUGUAAUUCACUAGGAAAUUGAAGACUUUUUAGGGAAGUUGGUAGGCUUAGUUCAGGUGGACACAGACUAGCAGCUUGAUAGUUUGUGCUAACACAAAAGUGCUAACUUACCUUAUGUUUCGUCAUCGUGGUGUUCCUUAUCCGUUCAAUUCAGUGAAUUACUCAAAAAAAAAAAAAAAAAAAAAAAACAAACACAACUUUAUAUACAGCUAAAAUAUAAGCCGUCUUGUGGCAUAACUGCUUGCGUUUUAGGAACCUAUGCUCCUAUCUGUUAUUUCAGUCAAACAUUUUCGUCGAUGAUAUGUUUUGAACAAAACGCCAUGCCGCGUUUAAUCACCUGAUUUGCUACACUCGACGUCAGCGUCGCGUCCAGACGGCGCCAUUUUUUUUUUUAUUUUUAAAGGUAACUUGACUGCUAAUGAGGAGAAAAGUGUCAGGAAAGAGAACGGCUCGGCUGACACAUUCAGUGCGCAAGAGUAUCAUAUGGCUUCACAGAAUUGGACUAUCUCUAGUAAUAUCUCAACUAUUUGAAAUACUACCUUAGAGAGAUCUUCUAGAUGUGUGUUGCAGUGGCAUGAAGAAGCUGUGAUGGACAGUAGGAAAGAACAGAAGUGAGGACCAGUCUGACCCACAGCCGAUGCCUGGCAGGAAGAAACACUGGAAGGGAAAUAAAGACACUAAUCCUCGGCUGCUUCAGCAGGUCAGGUCGAGCUCGACAGUGUGCAUAGCUCAAAUGCAGACCCAGGAGCGUUUCCCAGCCUGCCAUUCGAAGGUUCACGAGAGCUUCAGUAUUAUUCCAGCAGAGAGCAUGGAUUUUAAUCUUCAUCUGAGUCACACCUGUCACACCAAAGUGAAAGUGUGA
Molecule: long non-coding RNA, 864 nt
Filed under: Danio rerio (zebrafish)
Lineage: Eukaryota; Metazoa; Chordata; Actinopteri; Cypriniformes; Danionidae
Description: lncRNA (ENSDARG00000117492.1)
Source: RNAcentral